Molecule: long non-coding RNA, 3212 nt
Organism: Triticum aestivum (bread wheat)
Lineage: Eukaryota; Viridiplantae; Streptophyta; Magnoliopsida; Poales; Poaceae
Exons: 9
Source: RefSeq, a predicted model, not a curated record
CCGCACUCGCUCCUCCUCCACCCCUCCCGUGACCACACGCCGCCGCCAUCUCCUUCAUCCAUCGGUCGCCGCCUUCGCCUACUCCUCCUCCCCUCCCACUCCCGGCAGCACGCAACACCCCGAGGACCUCCCCUUGACCCGCCUCUUCCUCCCAUCCAGCCAGAUUCAUGGAGCAAGGCCUCUCACGCUCGCUCGCGACCCUCAGCUGUGUCUAGGGGUUUGGGUAGGGCAUCGCCUUUGUCGCUGGUGGACUCCGGCGGCUCCUCUUCGUUUCCUCCCUCGCCCACACGUGCGGCUCCGCUUCCCGCGGGCUAUGGCGCGUGGUUGGCCUCCCGGCGCCAAGAACCGUCCCAGGCCUCGCUGCAUCUCCGGCUCUAGCAAGGCAUUCCUGGGCGACCGGGGAGCACGGGCGGCUUCAUCGGGAGGAGCACCAGGCCAACCCCCAGCGGUUGGCGCCACCGGAUGGCGGCGGCCACCUUCUUCUCCCGGCCGCACCACGCCACAGGUGGAGGCGUUCCUCUUGCUCUUCCUCGUGGUGGCAUGGCAGCACCACCGUCAACGUCGAGCAUGGGUAGGAGAACGAUGCAGCCGUCCACAGAUAUUACACUGAAAGUGGCUUCCCAUGUCCACACCUGAGGAACCCAUCUGACCACUUCCUGAGGACAAUCAACAAAGAUUUUGACGAGGAAAUUGUAGAGAGUUCCAAAGCUAGGAAAAAAAGGCAGCUGAAGCAAUAGAGAUUCUGACAGAUUCUUACCAGUCCCCCGCUUAUUCAAAGAAAACAAUGGACCGGAUAGCUGAGAUGAAAGGGAUAGUAAGUUGCUUACAAGCCGCAUUUUUUUUCUCAAGAGUAAAGAUUGUAUUGUUUUGGCUGUACCAAAAUGUUUGGUUACAAAGAAGGGACUACCCAAAUGCGGACAAUCUGUAUAUACCAACUGCAAAAUAAUUACUAGGGCAAAUUCAGUCAGUGAAGUACUCCCUCUAGCUCAUGAAAAAGUGGUGUCUUUUACACAGCCUUCAAAAUGUACCUUUGGCAACUAGUUUUUGUUGUGGUAUAAUAUGCACAUAUAAUACCCAGUAAAAUUAUAACAUGUUGGAAAUAUUUUCUGAGAAACGCAUAUCAUUUUGGAUCUGAAUAUUCAAAACAUACUAGCCGUCAAAGUUUUCAAAGUUUAUCUCCUAAAGAAUCUCCAUUAUGAACUAGAGGGAACAACAUGCUAAUUCAGCGUCUGUACAACAUGUCAUUUUUCAUUUGAAUGAACCGGCAACAAAACUCUCGCCGCAGAGUAUACGGUGCUGGCCUAGCGAUGUUUACACAUUCAAAAUCAAAUUAUAGUUCUAGUAUUAUUGAGCUAUGUUCCAGGGUGGAGCUCCAUUUAGGAAGAGGGAACAAGCGAGCUUCUCAACAAAGCUCUUUAUACACACCAGAAGGUCAUUUGUGAAUAUGCACAUGGACAUAUGAUACUACUGGAUGCGCUUGGGUGUUUACCUGGGCAUUGGCAUUUGUCUUGGCACCAUAUUCUACCAAGUUAGCCACAAUUACAGUUCCAUCCAGUCUAGAUGUGAAGUAAUAAUGUAUACGACGGAACUUCUUACCUUCAUGGCCAUUGGAGGAUUCCCUUCUUUUCUAGAGGACAUAAAGGAUGCUUUCUCCCUGCCAUCAGAGUAUUCAGAAGGGAGAGGCCGAGUGGCCAUUACGGCGUGGCGGAGUUUGUGAUAUCAAACACAUUGUCAGCCACUCCAUACCUGGCCGUCAUCGCUGUGAUCCCUGGCGCAAUGCUGUACUACCUUACCGAGCUAAUGAAAGGACCUGACCGCUUCACCUACUUCGUCGUCAACUUGUGCAUGUGCACACUGCUGGUGGAGAGCAUGAUGAUGAUCAUCGCUGUCGUCGUCCCAGACUUCCUGAUGGGGAUCAUCAUCGAGGCCGGGGAGCAAGGGGUGAUGAUGCUCAAUGGAUUUUGUUUUCGUUGUUGAUCCUGAUUUAGAUAACACCAAAGGAACAAAUCAAGUGAGCUGCAACCAAAACUACCCAACAAGGUUGUCUACAAGGAUUCAGAAGACGACGAUUUGCUUCAACUGCAUUUGGAAGCAGCUGCUAGGAGCAUGGAAACCAUUGGAAGAACAUAAAGUUGAAGCAUAGAAAGGAAGGAGAUUUUGUUUGCCGAGAGGUUUAAUCGUUUCAACCGAUUUAAAUGCAAAAGGGAGGUACACUCUCUCCUGAUGUUGAUGUUAAAUUAACUAUUGAAUGCUGGACUAUAAAAUAAUGGGAUCAAAAUUAGGUUCAACAUCGUCAAGGACAAGAACACCUGAACCCAGAGAAGAUGACUAUCUGAUAGUAAUCCCCUAUUCCCACAUAUUUGGGCUUAUGCUGGAAGCUUUAAAAUUGCCCCCUGCAAUUUACCAUCACAAGAUACGUCCGGGUGGCAAGGCUCGUGUGACAGUCACUUUCAAUUCUUCCUUAGAGCAGCUUGAUGGUUUGCUUGUUCCUACCUCAAUAUCUGGUAUGGUUUCACAUACCUAUGAAGAUGCAGAAGACAGUGCCGCUAUAGAAGCUAUUAGAUAUAUGGAAAACGUGCGUGGGAAAGAAAUUAGAGACUACCACUACACCCAUGUCAUAACGCUUCAAAAUCAAGUUAGGCAUUUGGUCACGUGGUUGUUGGAAGGAAAUGAGACUAUCAAGUAACUACGCAAAGGCUGGUACUAUGCUGUUAGGUAUAUGAGCUCAUAUUCUGACCAGAUACAGAACUCAACAACUGCUCGACACCUAAGAGGGCAAGCUAAUACCAAAGGGAUUAUGAAAUCAGCGCUGGUAGGCAUUGAGGAACUGACACAGAGGUUACAUUAUAUUGGAAUGAAGUCAGAUGAGCGGCUGAUGACUAUUAAAGAUAGCUUCUGAUAACCUUAAAAAACAUGUCCCAAUCAGCAGGUUUGAGUGCUUAGUAGGCAACAUACUUUUGGUUCUUAUUAGUCAAGUUUAGUAGUGGAACAUUUGUCUUUUGGAGGUCUCCAAGUGCUUUUAGAUUUGUACUAUGCAAGAAUCAUGUAGCGAUGACGUUCUGCUCCAAAGACCGAACCUACAAUGACAGCUUCCUUUAUGUAAGUGUUUGUGUAAACAAGUGUGAGGCAAGCAGCUGUCUGUACUCUUACCAGGUGGCUUCUCAUCUUCUGCUGUGAAAUGUUAUGUUUAUGUUCGUGUCUUAUCAGGUGGA